AGCGAACGCUGGCGGCAGGCCUAACACAUGCAAGUCGAACGAACCUUUCGGGGUUAGUGGCGGACGGGUGAGUAACACGUGGGAACGUGCCUUUAGGUUCGGAAUAACUCAGGGAAACUUGUUCUAAUACCGAAUGUGCCCUUCGUGGGAAAGAUUUAUCGCCUUUAGAGCGGCCCGCGUCUGAUUAGCUAGUUGGUUGAGGUAAUGGCUCACCAAGGCGACGAUCAGUAGCUGGUCUGAGAGGAUGAUCAGCCACAUUGGGACUGAGACACGGCCCAAAAUCCUACGGGAGGCAGCAGUGGGGAAUCUUGCGCAAUGGGCGAAAGCCUGACGCAGCCAUGCCGCGUGAAUGAUGAAGGUCUUAGGAUUGUAAAAUUCUUUCACCGGGGACGAUAAUGACGGUACCCGGAGAAGAAGCCCCGGCUAACUUCGUG
Molecule: ribosomal RNA, 434 nt
Filed under: uncultured bacterium
Lineage: Bacteria
Description: partial 16S ribosomal RNA
Rfam family: Bacterial small subunit ribosomal RNA
Source: RNAcentral